Molecule: long non-coding RNA, 4099 nt
Organism: Taeniopygia guttata (zebra finch)
Lineage: Eukaryota; Metazoa; Chordata; Aves; Passeriformes; Estrildidae
Source: Ensembl
GCACAGACCCAGAAAUGUUGUUCUGCUAAGACAAGACCCAAAAUUUCCUCUCUCUAGCAGUGUUUUCUCCUUGGUUCUUUUCCAGAGAAGUUCCCCAAGGCAAGGCUGGACUUCCAACCUGGGCGCAGCCACGCUGAAGUGGGUGGUGAGGAAGGUCCAUCGAGCUGCUCUGCACUCUGCUGGAUUUCAACACGAGGCACGAUGGGGCUUUUAUAUAAAAUGAGAAGUGGAGGUGCAAACAAAUAUUGCACAAGAAUAUCAAUGUUUAACUGCUGAGCUUGUCCCGGGUGUGUUUCUGGAGGGAUUCUGCAGUUCAGGGCUGUUCCUGCUGCCUCUCCCUUGCCUCAGGAACUCCACAACCGAUGGGGAGUCAGCACAGCUUUCCCUCACUGUCACAGUGCUGCAAGAGAAACAGAUGGGACUCUUGAUUUUUUUAUCUAGGAAAGCUGAGUUUUUAUUGCAUAGCUCUUAUUUUUAUAGGAAUAUUAGAAGCUACUGUGUUAAUCUAAUUGAUUAACAACACACUGACAGUAUUUUGCUUAACAAGAAUCAAUCUAAUUGGGUAACAAUACACUGACAGUUUAUUGCUCAGUAAAUGGUGAGGGUGCAUGUUCCUAAAACCCCUCUACUUUUGGCUAGUUCACAUGUUUUCUUCAUGGACUCUUAUGAAGAGUCUUCAUGGACUUUUUACAGGUGCAGUCUGUUUUUCUUACUAGAAUGAGUUAUUUAAACUGAUUCUCAUUCUCUUAAUUCCAUCUCAAGGGAACUUAAGCUAGUUACUAGCUGUACAUAGCUGAAGUAAGGCUUGAGCUGGGAUUUUAUCAAUCUUUUCUUUUAUAAGGUUUGUCCCAUGUGGAACAUCAGAGGGAUUUGGAGCGUGGCAAAGGCUCUGCAGGAGCCCAAGGAGGCAGAGGCAGGUGCUGGCUUUCCAGCUGUCCCUGCAGGGGCUGUCACCACAGAGGAAAGUCGUGUCCCUUGUGGUGGAAGCCACUCCUGAGUGACUCCUGCUGCUGGGGGAAGAUCAAAGAAGUGCCCAGUUCUGGGUCACUCCCUGAGCUCUGCACACAGACUGGGGCUUGUUUGCAGCACUGCCAGGAGUGCCCUGGCCAUUUCACCCGUAGGAAUAAGCAGGAAAAGCCAGAGAUGUAGGGGAAAGUGGAGUGAUGAGUUUAUGGCUGAAAGAGCUGAUUAACAAAUGGGUUUGGGGCCAGUGAAUGUUUGUGCCCUGCAGCUCUGCCCUGUGGAGAUGGAAAGUGAGUUUCAUGCAUUUUCCAGCUGGAAAGAGUGAGGGUUGUCCCCCCAGAUCCCUUCAGAGCAGAGUUAGGAAGGGACAGAGGAGAGUCCACACUCGCUGUGUGAGGGCUGCAGGGCUCAUUUAUUUACUGGCCAGGAAAACAUCCUCUUCUCCCUGAAAUCUGCAAGUUCCUGGUUUCAUCCCUUCAUAUCCUGCCCCUAAUGAGAGCAAAACCCAGCAGAGAUCUCCUCCCCUGGCACAAGGUCAAAUGAGCUCCCAGAUGUGCAAAAAGCAGUGAUUUUUACUUGUGUUUCAAUAGCCCUGUGUACAGGAUCACCCCCCAAAAAAGGCAUCAUAUUCCAAUUUUUGGCAAAAAUCAACCCAAACUACAAAUCCAUGAGCAUUUUAAAUGUGAAACACAUCCCUUACUUGUUUUGGGUUUUCUUUUCCCCAUAUCUCCUCAGGCAAAUCACAAAAUUCCUGCUCAGCUCCAGGAAUUUACUGGCAUGAGUCAAUUAUUCCACCUGGGUGAAGGACACUUUUUCUGUGGGGCUGUUGAGGUGUUUAAUCAGGGUGAUGUCAGAGCACAGGGAGGAGCAAGGGAGCACAAUUCCCAAAAUGAGCAACUCCAGGCACAUCCUCAUCCUCCCUGGCCCCAGCAGGAACAGAUGUGCUCACUCCAGGCAGGCAGUUUCAUCAUUCUCCUGGGAAAAUCCUUGCUGGAAGUUCCCUCAUGCAAAGCUUUCUCCUCACUCUGAAUUAUUCACAGCUCUUCAGCCUGGUGUCACUGACUGAGCUGCAGGAACAGGGAUGUGCUCCUGGGACAGCCCAGGACAUGGAAAUGUCAGAAAUGGAUUUGUAAAGAAAUCUCAAGCCUGGUAAAGCUCAUACAGCCUGGUCCACCUGUGUGCAAACUCUGAGAAAAGGUGUGCAGCCUUAGGGAGGCCAUGGAACAGAGAUGACAUUGCUGAGAGAGAGAUUCAGCUGGAAACAAGUUUCAAAAGAUGGCCUUGCAAAAACAUCAGGUGUUUUAGAGAACUAGAACUGUGAAAGGUGCAUUGCAGCAGGACCAUGUGGGGUAAAAUAAUAGGUGCUUGGUGUUAAAUGUAUGUUAAAAUAGAGGUAAGAAUACAGGUGAUUGGUGUUAGAGGUAUUAGCAGCAUUGUGUGGCAAAAGCUAAUAGGCUGAACAACAUUUCUAAGGUGUUGUGACCAGGAAAUGGGCUGGCUUCUGAUGGAAUGGCGUUGGAUUUUACAUCUCUUGCGUCUCACCCUUCAUCAAGAUUGAUAAUGGAACAAAAACGCCUUUUAAACGCCUCUGUUACCCUGUCUCUGUAAAAGUAGGAAAAUCAACAGGGGACCAUGGAGAUUAUCCCAGUUCCUGAGGUGUUGGCACCAAAAUCUGCCCUGUCCCAGUCAGAAAUGUGUGGUAGCACCAAACUGGCUUGGAGGAGGAUUUGCCAUUCCACAGUCCCUCUCUUCUGCCCUGGGUCCUGGGAACCCUCCUGUGUCAGAGCCCCUGGAUUUUAAUUUUAAGGGGUUGGUUACAGCAUUGUCCCAUUUGUUACAACACAAAUGCAGCAAAGGGGCUACAGGAGUGAAUGUGAUGUCACAGAGCAACCCUGGAGUAAUUCCAAAAUUUUCUUUGGCUUUCAGAAGUUCAGGGAUGCUUCAGUGGUUCACUGGUGAAAAGUUUUUGCUUUCCAAAUAGGUCUUGUAUGACCUCAUUCCCUCACAGUCAUGGGAGGUGUCAGAGAUCUUAUUACAUAAUUUAAAGUUUCCUUUCCCCACCUUGAGGAACUUGGAAUUUUCUGACAGAUAAAAAAUGAUGUAACAAGAUGCCUGGAUCCUGCUUGGGCAUUGAGUGUUCCUGUGAACUCCUGAAUCCCUUAUCCUGCCAUGCCAUUCUCAGUUUGGGUCCCCAGGCAUUAUUUAUUUAGCAUUAAAUAAAUAUUUACACAUUAAUAAUUAAUAGCAAAAUAGGAAGUUGUCACAACUUCCUUUUUCUUCCAGGUAUAUCCCUGAGUGCUUUAAUUACAGAAUCAUGGAAUAUCCUGGGCUGGAAGGGAUCCUCAAGGAUCAUCAGUCCAACUCCUGGACACCCCAGCAACCCCCCCGCUGUCCCUGAGAGCAUUGUCCAAACUCCCCUUGGACCUAGAAUGGCCUGGCUGGGCUUUGUCUGAAAACUCCUUUUCUAGGAGCUGUCAGACGAAGAAAAUGCUGCUUGAAUUUCAGUCAAUGAAAUGAAUUUACUGGGCUUUCCCCUUGACUUUCAGUUUGCAAUGUUCUUUCCCCACCCCCAGCACUGUAACAUGGCCCAAGCAGCGCUGCUGGUGGAGUUCAGAGUUACAACAUCCCCAAGAAAUGAGCCCAGCUCAAGAGAAGAGCCCAGCUUGCAGCUGGCUCCUCCAGCUGGGUGCUGGCAGGUUUAUCUCAAUGUCAGAUAUAUCAAUUAUAUCAUUGUCAGAUCUCAGUGUCAGGUUUAUCUCAGUGUCAGAUAUAUCAAUUAUAUCAUUGUCAGAUCUCAGUGUCAGGUUUAUACCAGUGUCAGGUUUAUCUCAGUGGCAGAUAUAUCAAUUAUAUCAUUGUCAGAUCUCAGUGUCAGGUUUAUCUCAGUGUCAGGUUUAUCUCAGUGGCAGAUAUAUCAAUUAUAUCAUUGUCAGAUCUCAGUGUCAGGUUUAUCUCAAUGUCAGAUAUAUCAAUUAUAUCAUUGUCAGAUCUCAGUGUCAGGUUUAUCUCAGUGUCAGGUUUAUCUCAGUGUCAGAUAUAUCAAUUAUAUCAUUGUCAGAUCUCAGUGUCAGGUUUAUCUCAGUGGCAGAUAUAUUAAUUAUAUCAUUGUCAGAUCUCAGUGUCAGGUUUAUCUCAG